This is a long non-coding RNA of Sorghum bicolor (sorghum), 753 nucleotides long. RefSeq lists it as uncharacterized. The transcript is spliced from 5 exons. The record is from RefSeq and is a predicted model, not a curated record. NCBI's taxonomy places the organism in Eukaryota, Viridiplantae, Streptophyta, Magnoliopsida, Poales, Poaceae.
GCAAGCUAUGGGAGGGACGGUUGGAGUGUAGAGCUCCCCAAAAGCUUGCCAGCAGAAUGGGUUAUUCAGGUGGUAGUGGGGUACUUGCACUGGUCUGAGUUGCACACCGGUAAGAGAGAUUCCUGAACAAGAGUAUACAGGCGAAACAGAACUGAGAUGCAGGCUUUCGGUUGACCCUAGGUGUAUUCCGUCAGUGUUGAGACUGUUCUCAGGGGAGGAUAUAGUCACGUCAUGGACCAUCACUCCUUGACAGUUGUCAAACUUAAGAUGGCACUGUGAGCUGUUGACAAUAGUGAUACCAGCUACUACAACGUUGAAACUACCAUAAAACCUCAAUGCCUGCAUCAGGUUUAAUCUGUGGCAUUCUUUCAAACUCCACAUCGUACUGCAGGAAAGCAUCCAAAAAACGUCUUGUAAGAGCUGUGGAAAAGGUUCUGCAUUUGUAUAUCCUGACUUGCUUGGUGUACUUUGUUCUCUACCAUGACUUAAAAAAAAACUUGGCCAGCUAGAUGUGUAAAUGGAUCUGAUUAUGCUGCUAUAUGCAACAAUCAUGUGAGAAGGAAAGAACAAGCCAAACAGGGAACAGAUCGAAACACAUGCAAACAUGCAAAUAAGACUCCAGAAAAAUAGGGCGCUGGUGACAACUUUUCAGGCUCUGUACUGCAGAUCAUGUGAGACAGUGAGAGUAAAACUGGUAUGAUCGUAGGCACAUUGAAAAGCUCACCAUCAUAAGCUGUGGUGAUUAUGGCAAAA